GUGCUCAUUUUGGCAAUACAUAUACUAAAAUUGGAAUAAUACAGAGAAGAUUAGCAUGGAGCCUGUACAGGGGCCUGCAUGGGACUGGAUUAGGCCCUCUUCAU
This is a small nuclear RNA of Myodes glareolus (Bank vole), 104 nucleotides long. Lineage: Eukaryota; Metazoa; Chordata; Mammalia; Rodentia; Cricetidae. The record is from RefSeq and is a predicted model, not a curated record.